AAGGGGACCAGUGAGUCUGGUGGUGGUGUUACGGGUGUGCCCACUGAUGAGACGUGCAUACACAGCCAGGACCGAAUGAAUAACUCGCUUCCAGGCGAGGAAGAUGCUGCUGGUCCGCAGGCCACACUUGGAUUUGGAUGUUGAACCUUCAUGACAAUCUUUGAACUGAGGGAAACCAGCUCAGAGAAGGUGCUGCACGCUGACCACAGCAGACAGGACCCAGAUCUGGAGUCGGCCCCUCAUGGUCACCAAGAGAGAUGCGUCCACGUGUCCUGGUCUUAGGAGAAGUUAUGAGAGAGGCGAUUGCCGAAAUAAACAGAGA
Odocoileus virginianus texanus is the source of this 322-nucleotide non-coding RNA. The record is from RefSeq and is a predicted model, not a curated record. Lineage: Eukaryota; Metazoa; Chordata; Mammalia; Artiodactyla; Cervidae.